Long non-coding RNA from Choloepus didactylus (southern two-toed sloth), 1597 nucleotides. RefSeq lists it as uncharacterized. NCBI's taxonomy places the organism in Eukaryota, Metazoa, Chordata, Mammalia, Pilosa, Megalonychidae. The record is from RefSeq and is a predicted model, not a curated record. The transcript has 2 exons.
AUAUUCAACAGGUCUCCACUAUAUAUUGUACAGGUCCUUCUCUGGCUGCUUGUACACUAGAACCUCUAUCCUGGUAGUUUUCUGCCUUUUCUCUAGUUAUUCCAUGGGGGUUGGGAGGGGGAAGUUUGCUCUGCCUUUCUUAUUCUGCCAUUUUCACAGAAGUCAAGAAUACAUUAUUAAAAUACAAAAAGAAAGCCACAUGAAUCAGUUCAAACUGGAAAUUGGUGUUGAUGGGGAAUAUGUAAAUUAAAAACUGGAAGAUGCAAAGCAGAUGCACUUGGGAAGGUUAGUGUGAACGGAGGCAAGCAAUGUCUUCUGCCUACUAAAAAUGACUUUUCAGCAAUUCUUCCAGCACAAAGUUAGCUUUGUUCAUCUACGUUGAAAUGCCGUGGUAUUUCAUUACACUGAAAGCAGGAAACAGUUUGGGAGACAGAAGUGGGAAUAUUAUUAAAUAUAUUACACAUGUGACAAAGUGUUACUUAACUUCCAAUUACCAGUAGACUUCACAGGGCAGGAAGGUUGCCAGCUCAUUCAUUUGAUCAUUACUUUUCUUGACCAGAAAGGCCCAGGAGAAUAUAUCCUAAAAUAAUAAAGAUUUCAUUAGCAUUUAAUGUUUUUUCCUUAAAGCCUUCAUUUUAGUAUUAUGAAACAGAUUUCAGAGAAUAUCUUAAGGUUUUCAUAAAACGAAACAUUUAAUAGUAUUUAUGACUCUCAGUGCUACCUGAAUUCAUUUGCAUCAUAAACCCACUAAAAUAGGCUUUAAUCUCUAAUGUGACCAUAAUGCUUUUACUUAACAUAACAACACUAUCAAGACCACUUUAUAAGCCACACAAAAAUAAUUAUCACUGCUUCUUUAUAAUCUCACUUUACUAGCCAGAAAUGUUAAUCUGGUUAAUUAUCUACCAUAUUCACCAGAUUGGGCUUUGAAUAAUUGGCAGUGCUUUUCAAAAAUCUAAUUUAUGCUGGAAAGAUGAAUAUUUUCCAGGUAAAGGAUGUUUUUAAGAAUGUUUCAGAAUCUCCGAGAACCACUCCAAAAGAGGAGUGCCGGAGAUGUUUUACAUAUGUAAGCAUUUUUGGAAAAACUGUACAGUCUUCCAAGGUGACUAAAGAAAAAUGUGCCCAGAUGAACAGGUUCUGAUAUAUUUGCUUAUAAGAUGAAUCUGAUUACUUUGUUUUCCCAAGUCAGAUUGCAUUUUUUGACUAGAGCAGCUCAGAUAGUAAAUCAGGUAUGAAAUUAUGUUUUGAUAGAAAAAUAGUUCUGUGAAGGACAAUGAUUUGGCAAACCUUUGUGGCUUUCAUGCAGCUGCUCUCAGGAAUCUGCCCAGGAAAGCUGCUCUUUCUGAGGAACUUGGGACUGAUUUUGAGCCCCCACUCAGUCAACUGAGGAGAUUGCCUUCAACACUGAGAGAAGUUCAUCCAAUCAGCAGUCAGAAGAGAGACUUUCCAUAUCUACUUUAGCCAACCAACUUCUCCUGGGGAAUCCAUUUAAAACCUUCAUUAGAGUUCCCAGCUUGCAGCCUGCCCUAUGGAAUUUGGACCUGUGCACCCCCACAGUCACACGAGACAAUUUUUGUAAAAAUAUAAUAUUUACAUAAUA